GAGGAUAUAGCUCAAGUGGUAGAGCACAUGCUUAGCAUGCACAAGGUCCCGGGUUCAAUCCCCAGUACCUCCU
RNAcentral lists this transfer RNA (73 nucleotides) under Camelus bactrianus (Bactrian camel). It matches the Rfam family "tRNA". Rfam says of the family: Transfer RNA (tRNA) molecules are approximately 80 nucleotides in length. Their secondary structure includes four short double-helical elements and three loops (D, anti-codon, and T loops). Further hydrogen bonds mediate the characteristic L-shaped molecular structure. tRNAs have two regions of fundamental functional importance: the anti-codon, which is responsible for specific mRNA codon recognition, and the 3' end, to which the tRNAs corresponding amino acid is attached (by aminoacyl-tRNA synthetases). tRNAs cope with the degeneracy of the genetic code in two manners: having more than one tRNA (with a specific anti-codon) for a particular amino acid; and 'wobble' base-pairing, i.e. permitting non-standard base-pairing at the 3rd anti-codon position. The record is from Rfam by way of RNAcentral. RNAcentral also lists the same sequence under 2 other names. Lineage: Eukaryota; Metazoa; Chordata; Mammalia; Artiodactyla; Camelidae.